Molecule: ribosomal RNA, 468 nt
Filed under: uncultured bacterium
Lineage: Bacteria
Description: partial 16S ribosomal RNA
Rfam family: Bacterial small subunit ribosomal RNA
Source: RNAcentral
CCAGACUCCUACGGGAGGCAGCAGUGGGGAAUAUUGCGCAAUGGGCGAAAGCCUGACGCAGCGACGCCGCGUGAGGGAUGAAGGUCUUCGGAUCGUAAACCUCUGUCAGCAGGGAAGAACGGUCACUGUGCUAAUCAGCAGUGAAUUGACGGUACCUGCAAAGGAAGCACCGGCUAACUCCGUGCCAGCAGCCGCGGUAAUACGGAGGGUGCGAGCGUUAUCCGGAUUUAUUGGGUUUAAAGGGUGCGUAGGCGGUUUUUUAAGUUAGUGGUUAAACGUCGGGGCUUCACCUUGAUUUGCCAUUAAUACUGUAAGACUCGAGUUCAGACGAGGUAGGCGGAAUAAGUUAAGUAGCGGUGAAAUGCUUAGAUAUAACUUAGAACUCCGAUAGCGAAGGCAGCUUACCAGACUGCGACUGACGCUGAAGCACGAGAGCGUGGGUAGCGAACAGGAUUAGAUACCCCGGUA